RNAcentral lists this long non-coding RNA (11247 nucleotides) under Medicago truncatula (barrel medic). Its description in RNAcentral is "long non-coding RNA (MTRU_LNC004400)". The record is from RNAcentral. Lineage: Eukaryota; Viridiplantae; Streptophyta; Magnoliopsida; Fabales; Fabaceae.
AAGAACACCAAGAACACAUCAUCACCAAAAUCAACAGAUCUAAACCGGAUCUGCUCAGAAUCAACUCCAAUCACCACAAAAUCAACAAAUCCGAACCGGAUUCACUCAAAACCACCGCGAAUCAUCACAUCAACACCAAAACUUACCGGAUUUUUGAGCAAAAACAACCACAAACGGAGAAAACGCGCGCGCACGGAGAGGGGAAAAAGGGAGAUUCGAAGUUUUCCGAAGAUUUUUCUCCGUUCUACGACAGAGGUAACGCAUUUCUCUCCUCUUUUCCUUCAUUUUCGCGCGCGCCUAUAGUGUAGAAAAAGUGUGAAAAAGUUUGUUACGGAUAAAGAUUUGUAGAUCUAGGCUUUUGUGUUCGGAUUUUGGAAAUUUUGAGGCCGGAUUUUGACUUUAUAGAGAAAAGGAUAUCUAGAUCCGUAGUUUUUUUUGCGAUAAGUGUGAAAAAAAUUUCAAAGUAAAAACGUAGAUCUAGCCCAAAUCUCUCAGCUCUUUCUAAAACUAGUGCCGGAUUUGUGUAGAGGAGGAGGAGACGAAGCUUUUGGUAUAAAAAUUUUGAAAAAAAAAAAAGAAAAAGCUCCGACGCGGUGGCGCCGCCGCCGGAAACUGGCCGGCCGCCGCGCCGGAGCAGCUCCGGCCACCUCCUCCACCUUCUUCUCCGGCGAGCUGUUUUAGAGAGAGGGGAGAGCUUCUCUCUCUAAGUGUGACUUAGAGAGAGAAGGAGAAGAGGUUUAUGUGUUUUUUGUGUGAAAAUUCCUUUAUAUACUCCCUCCGUUCCCACGUGCGUGCGUACAUGCUUCUGUGGUGUUCCCUCGCUCUGUGAACCAUCAGAUCUGGAUUGUUCCAAGAUCUGAUGGCUGCUGUGUGUUUGAUUUUGAAUCCUGUGUGUGAUUUUUUGUGUGGAAUAUGGUAUAUCUUCUGUUUGAACCGUUAGAUCUUUGAUCUAACGGUCACUGUGCUUCGUGCAUUUUACACUAUCUUUUGUGCUCUUUUUUGGACCCUUGGAUCUUUGAUCCAGUGGCUGUGAUGUGAUCUUGGGAGUUAGAUCUGGACCUCUGGAUUCAUCCAGCGGACCAGAUUAAAUUCUGCUGAGCCUUUUUUUAAUUGCUUUUUAAUUGUGUUUUAAAUACUUUUUUUACACUUUCUUGGCAUUUUAUGCUCCUAAAAAAUUUUCUAAAAAUGUUUCCCUAUCAUUUUAAUUUUUUCUUUAAAUGUUAGAAUUUACUUGCUUAUUUUUUUUAUUUUCUUCAUUUGUUCUUUUUAAUUCUUGCUCAUUAAAUUCCUAUAUGUUCUUGGUGCAUUUUUUGACAUUUUGUGAUAUUUUUAUUUUUUUUGCAUGUUAAAUAAUGUGUAGAAAAUAUCCCUAGGAAUAUGGUAUGAUGCUUUGUUUGUGUGUUUUUAUGAUCCUCACAUUGUAGCUUAAAAUCAAAUCUCUUUUAAAAAUGGCUAUGAUGAGAUAAUUAUAAGCCAUAUGCAUGUCUAAGUGUUAUACCUAAUUCUAGGUAUAUUUUGCCACUUUAUUUCAUUUCAUUACCUUUUUUUCUCUUGCUAUUCUAUUCAAUUUUGUUUACCUUUCUACUAUUUUUAUGCCUUAUGAUACUAACCAUUUCAUCUAACAUUUCAUUCAUCCCAUAGUUUUAGCAUCAUUUUUUUGUUUUUAUUCAUUUCUAUAUCAAUUGGGUUUGUAAUAAUUUUAGAUAGAUUAGUUCCUUUUUAAAUUCUUUGCAAGACCAUAGCAUGUAUUUAGGACUCAAUGUAAAGGACUAUGGACACUAUAAGUGAUGUACACCGACACAAGCACCGACAUGCACACACGUUGCAUGUUUACCGUUUAGAUGUAUGUUUAGGAAAUGCGAUUUUUAGACAAAUGUCAAUUUUCAAAAAAAUAAUAAACCAAUUCCAUCAUUCAAAUUUUUCCAAACAAAUCUUGGAGUCAAAACUCCAUUGAAUUUCUUCUUUAUUUUCUUAAACAAAUCCAAAUGAAUCCUAAUUUCUACUUAGACUUUUUUAAUAACAAUCGAACCAACCAUUCACCAUUUUUCUCUCUUAUGCCUUUAAGGCCUCUUCCUCUUCUUCAAAACCUUUUUCCAACAAAAACUAAAAUCAACCAAACACACAAAAAACAUUUUUUGAGAGAGAACUACAUGGAGUUUGAUCCCUUAAAUGGGUAUGUAGGCAUGAGGUCAAAACCUCUCCAAGUCCACUAAAAUAAAACCUCAAACACUUUCUCCCCCCAUUCUUCACUCAAAUAAAACUUCUUUUUUAAUAAGUAGGCAAUAAAAAUAAAGCGUAGAAAUAAACUUAAGAAAACGGCUCCUAUAGAGUACUAUAGUCACCGCGGGUGCCUAACACCUUCCCGUAGUGAAAACGACCCCCGAACUUCGAAUCUAAGGGUUUUUUCUCAAUUUUGCCCUUCCCAAGAAAAAAUAGAGAAUAUCAAAGAUUGAAAGGUUCAAGCCUAAUUUAUGACUUGACACCCGAAAAUCGCGAUAACAGAAAUGGCGACUUCACUGGGGACACUUUUAGCGGGUCACGCCUAGUUUUCUUUAGUUUAUAUUUACGCUUUGUUUUAUUGCUUACAUAUGUGAAUACUUGUUUAUUUUCAUUUGACGUGUGGGGUGAGAAUAUCAAAAGUCCUAUACCCGGGCUGAGUGAACUUAUGAAUAGGUAGAGAUAUAAUCGACAAUUCGAUCCGAGGGUUGCCUCGUGUAUUGGGUUAUGCGAUCAAUCUCACAUAGCUGAGGCAUUUUGGAAGUAAUAUUGUCGGCGUGUGUUGUCAUGCUUAGGCACUUUGCUUUCAAUUGUUCGACGAUGCUAUGGACCGUAGUUACCAAACCCAUCCCUGGCCUUUUUAGGACGUAGUGCGGUGGCUAAACCGAGUGUUGUCUCGAGUUUUAGUCGUCACGCGAUACUACACUCAAACUAGACCUUCUUGCGAAUAAACAUGGAACGGACGUUGUCCCGUGCUACCAUGAUAUACGUAAGAGAGGUUGCAGUUUGGGAACUUGAUUAGAACCUUGGUUACUAUUAUCCUAAGCCUUAGUUUACCGGGCACCGUGUCCGCCCUUGGCUCCUCGACUUUAAUCUCAACCCUCCAUGUUUUCUCUGUAAUUGAAAAAACAAUCAUGCAUACAUGCAUUCAUGCAUAAAUUUUUUCUCAUGCAUUCAUCGAAGGAUCGGACAAAUUAAAAACUUUGUAAACAUUACAGGUAUGAAGAAGACUAAAUCCUACAAGUUCAAGGAGGUUGAUUUGGUUAGUUUGAGAGAGUUGGCACUCAAGGUGAAGAAUCAAACAGGUUUCCGACUCCGGUAUGGUGGUUGGCUUACUAUUCUCCGGACUAAUGUUGAAGAGAAGCUCGUGCACACUCUAGUGCAAUUCUAUGACCCGAGUUUCCGCUGCUUCACUUUCCCGGAUUUCCAGUUGGUCCUUACUCUUGAGGCUUAUUCCCACUUAUUGGAUUCACCUAUAGCCGAGAAGACGCCUUUCACCGGUCCCGGGGCUUCUCUUACUCCUCUGGUUAUUGCUAAGGAUCUCUAUCUCAAGACUUCCGAUGUCUCCAAACAUCUUACUACUAAGUCUCACAUCCGAGGGUUCACUUCCAAGUAUCUACUUGAGCAAGCUAAUCUCAAAACUACUUGUCAGGACGCACUCGAGGCUAUUCUUGCAUUGCUUAUCUAUGGGCUCAUUCUCUUCCCGAAUCUCGACAACUUUGUGGACAUGAAUGCUAUUGAGAUCUUCCAUUCUAGGAAUCCGGUUCCUACCCUGCUAGCUGACAUGUAUCAUGCUAUCCAUGACCGGACUCUCAAAGGUCGUGGGUAUAUCCUUUGCUGCGUGCCUCUCCUAUAUAGGUGGUUUAUUUCUCACCUUCCGAGCUCCUUCCAUGACAACUCGGAGGAUUGGUCCUACUCACAGCGGAUGAUGGCUCUCUCUCCUAACGAGGUGGUCUGGAUCACUCCCGCCGCUCAGGUUAAGGAGAUUAUUACUGGUUGUGGAGACUUUCUCAAUGUACCUCUUCUUGGUACCCGUGGGGGAAUCAACUACAAUUCCGGAGCUUGCUAUGAGGCAGUUUGGGUUCCCCAUGAAGACAAAGCCCAUCAAUCUUGCUACAUCUCCGGAGUUCUUCUAUUAUUCGAACGCCCCCACCGGACAAAGGGAGGCUUUCACAAAGGCUUGGUCUAAGGUCCGUAGGAAGAGUGUGAAGCAUUUGGGUGUGAGAUCUGGUAUUGCUCAUGAGGCCUAUACUCAGUGGGUAAUAAACCGAGCCGAAGAGAUUGGUAUGCCAUACCCUGCUAUGAGACAUGUGGCUGCACCUGCUCCAUCUAUACCUUUACCUCUACCUCCCAUAACUCAGGAGAUGUAUCAGGAGCAUCUGGCCAUGGGAAGUCGUGAGAAACAAAUGUGGAAGGCCCGAUAUAAUGAGGCUGAGAAUCUAAUCAUGACUUUGGAUGGUAAGGAUGAGCAGAAGACUCAUGAGAACCUGAUGUUGAAGAAGGAAUUGGUUAAGGUCCGAAGGGAACUUGAAGAAAAGGAUGAGCUACUUAUGCGGGACUCCAAGAGAGCCAGAGGACGACGCAACUUCUAUGCUAGAUAUUGCGGUUCGGAUUCGGAGUCUGAGUCUGAGGAUCAUCCCACCACUUCCUAUGCUUGAGAGUUUUAAAAAUCCUUCGAUGUCCAAAAACAACUUUUGCAUUUGCAUUUGUACAUAUCAUGCAUCAUGUGCAUCAUUCAUCAAGCCACAAAAGGUUUCCAAGUGCUCACUGCCUCCUGGGUCUUCUGCCACAGAUUGAAAGGUGGCUCGUGCUCGGAAAGUUUACGAAUCAGACAGAAUACACCGGAUAAGACUCUACAGAAAGAAGAAUUCGGCAGCCAUGGAAGAAGAGAAUGCUUAGCUCCGUACCGAGUUAGCCACUCUAAGGGAAGAAUUGGCUAAAGCUAAUGAUGUCAUGACUGCUCUGCUAGCCGCUCAAGAACAAUCAGCCACGGCUAUCCCUAUAGCCACAGCUAUACUGGUGACUACAAGCAUGCUCCCAACCGCAUCUGCAGACGCUCGCUUUGCUAUGCCAGCUGGGUUUCCGUAUGGGCUUCCACCGUUCUUCACUCCCAGUACUGCAGCGGGCACUUCGGGCACUGCUAACAAUGUUCUGAUCCCUACAACAAAUGUUGGCUCAUCAAUGCCACUUUGCCACAAACAACGGCAGCUGUCACUGAGCCUUCUUGUGCAUACCAUGCCCCAAGGUGUUAACAUCAACACACAGCAUGGAAGCAUCCCCGUAACCAAAACCAUGGAAGAGAUGAUGGAGGAACUUGCUAAAGAACUCCGUCAUGAGAUCAAAGCCAAUCGAGGAAAUGCGGACUCUUUCAAAACUCAAGAUCUCUGCUUGGUGUCAAAGGUGGAUGUCCCUAAGAAGUUCAAAAUCCCGGACUUCGACCGAUACAACGGCUAACUGUCCCAGAACCACAUCAUCAAGUACGUCCGAAAGAUGGGCAAUUACAAAGACAAUGAUUCCCUUAUGAUCCACUGCUUCCAGGAUAGUUUGAUGGAAGAUGUUGCAGAGUGGUAUACUAGUUUGAGCAAAAAUGACAUCCAUACCUUUGAUGAAUUAGCCGCUGCUUUCAAGAGCCACUAUGGGUUUAACACCCGAUUGAAGCCGAACAGGGAAUUCCUCAGAUCUCUCUCCCAGAAGAAGGAGGAAAGCUUCCGUGAAUACGCACAGAGAUGGAGGGGGGCAGCUGCCCGCAUUACUCCCGCUCUUGAUGAAGAAGAAAUGACCCAGACAUUCUUAAAGACCUUGAAGAAGGAUUAUGUUGAGAGAAUGAUCAUUGCUGCCCCGAAUAACUUUUCGGAGAUGGUCACCAUGGGAACUCGUCUGGAAGAAGCCGUCAGGGAUGGAAUCAUUGUGUUCGAGAAAGCUGAAUCCUCUGUGAAUGCAUCGAAGAGGUAUGGUAAUGGACACCACAAGAAGAAAGAAACGGAAGUAGGGAUGGUGUCAGCUGGAGCCGGUCAAUCCAUGGCUACUGUUGCUCCUAUCAAUGCAGCCCAAAUGCCUCCGUCAUACCCAUAUGUGCCGUAUUCUCAGCAUCCUUUCUUUCCGCCAUUUUAUCAUCAGUACCCUCUGCCACCGGGUCAACCUCAAGUACCCGUUAAUGCAAUCGCUCAACAGAUGAAACAACAGUUGCCAGUUCAACAACAUCAACAAAAUCAGCAAGCUAGACCUACUUUCCCUCCGAUACCGAUGUUAUAUGCUGAGUUGCUUCCGACUUUACUCCAUAGAGGACAUUGUACAACCAGACAGGGCAAGCCCCCACCUGAUCCGUUGCCUCCAAGGUUCAGGUCCGAUCUCAAAUGUGAUUUUCAUCAAGGCGCCCUGGGUCAUGAUGUCGAGGGGUGCUAUGCUUUGAAGUAUAUCGUAAAGAAGCUCAUUGAUCAAGGAAAGCUGACUUUUGAGAAUAAUGUCCCACAUGUCCUCGACAAUCCUCUUCCAAAUCAUGCCGCUGUAAAUAUGAUCGAAGUAUGUGAGGAAGCUCCUAGACUUGAUGUCCGUAACGUCGCAACUCCUCUGGUGUCUCUACACAUCAAGCUGUGCAAAGCUUCUCUGUUUAGCCAUGAUCAUGCCAAGUGCCUAGGAUGCCUUCGUAAUCCUUUGGGUUGCUAUACUGUUCAAGACGACAUCCAAAGCUUGAUGAAUGAUUAAUUUUUUGACUGUUAGUGAUGUCUGCGUAAUUGUGCCAGUUUUUCACGAUCCGCCUGUCAAGAGUAUGCCUUUGAAGGAGAAUGCUGAGCCUCUGGUGAUAAGGUUGCCCGGACCGGUACCGUAUACUUCAGAUAGGGCUAUCCCGUACAAGUAUAAUGCUACCAUAAUUGAAAACGGAGUAGAAGUGCCUCUGGUGUCCUUGGCUGUGAUGAACAAUACCGCCGAAGGAACUUCAGCAGCCCUUAGAAGCGGAAGAGUCCGUCCACCGUUGUUUCAAAAGAAGGCAGCUACGCCUACCGUGUCACCCAUUGACAAACCAACCCCGACUGAUGUUUCUCCCGUUAACAGAGACGCGAGCCAAUCAGGCCGGUCUAUAGAGGAUUCUAAUCUGGACGAGAUUUUGAGGUUGAUCAAAAGAAGUGAUUAUAAGAUUGUGGAUCAGCUGCUGCAAACUCCGUCGAAGACAUCCAUUUUGUCUCUACUUUUGAGUUCCGCUGCCCACAGAGAUACCCUUUUGAAAGUAUUGAAAGCAUCAUAAUCUGGCCUUGCAUAUCUCCGUAAAUUGCAAGUCUGACAUGAUCUCAAAUGUGUUAGUAGACACUGGCUCAUCUUUGAACGUGAUGCCCAAGUCAACGCUGGAUCAGCUGAGUUACCGGGGAACUCCUUUGAGGAGGAGCACUUUUCUUGUCAAAGCCUUUGAUGGAACCCGCAAGAGCGUUCUCGGGGAGAUAGACUUGCCAAUAACUAUCGGUCCCGAAACCUUUCUAAUCACCUGUUAAGUCAUGGAUAUUAAUGCCUCUUACAGCUGUCUCUUGGGGAGACCUUGGAUACAUGACGCGGGAGCGGUGACCUCUACUUUGCACCAAAAGUUGAAAUUUGCAAAAAGUGGAAAGCUUGUUACCAUUCAUGGAGAGGAGGCAUACCUGGUUAGCCAGCUAUCAUCUUUCUCUUGCAUAGAGGCAGGAUCUGCAGAGGGGACCGCUUUUCAAGGAUUAACUGCCGAAGGUACGGAGUCCAAGAGAGAUGGAACUGCCAAUGGCUUCUUUGAAGGAUGCACAGAGAGCCGUCCAGGAGGGUCAAGCUGCCGGCUGGGGCAGGUUAAUACAGCUUCGUGAGAACAAGCAUAAGGAAGGUCUUGGCUUCCUCCCCAACUUCAGGAGUUUCCACCGGGGCAUUCUAUAGUGCUGGGUUUGUCAACGCAAUCACAGAUGAAGCAACUGGAUUUGGCCCGAGGCCUGUAUUUGUUAUACCAGGAGGCAUUGCGAGAGAUUGGGAUGCCAUUGACAUUCCCUCAAUCAUGCAUGUUUCUGAGUAAUAUACCUUGUUGCUUAAGUAUCUUGUUUUUUCAAAAUAACAAUCCUCUCGCUCUGCCCAAAGCGAGAGUGAUAUUUUCUGUAAGGGCAUGUUUGUUUCGGCAUUGCCGUUGAUUAAUAAAAAAUUGUCGUUUCUUUCACGACUGCUUUUUUUUAGUGCCUUUUUUCCUUGGAAAUAAUGGUAAUGCCAGAAAAAACCAAAAUAUCUGUAUUUUCUUAUUAAUUUCAAAAAUCUGCAUAAAAAACCUCUUUCUAAAAUCAUCCAACCAUUUUACGCAGAUUGAACUAUAAUAAACCCGUUGGGCACAGUAACCCUGCAUUCCCUCCGAAUUUUGAGUUCCCAGUGUAUGAGGCCGAAGAUGAGGAAGGUGAUGACAUACCAUAUGAGAUCACUCGGUUACUUGAGCAAGAAAAGAAAGCCAUUCAGCCUCACCAGGAAGAGAUUGAGCUUAUCAACAUAGGUACCGAGGAGAACAAGCGAGAAAUCAAGAUCGGUGCUGCUCUAGAGGAAGGGGUUAAAAAAGAAAGAUCAUCCAACUCCUCCGGGAAUAUCCGGAUAUUUUUUGUCAUGGUCGUAUGAAGAUAUGCCAGGUCUAGAUCCUAUGAUUGUGGAACAUCGGAUCCCCACCAAGCCUGAAUGUCCUCCCGUCAGGCAGAAAUUGAGAAGGACUCAUCCAGAUAUGGCUCUCAAGAUUAAGAGCGAGGUUCAAAAACAGAUUGAUGCGGGUUUCCUCAUGACAGUUGAGUAUCGUGAAUGGGUUGCCAAUAUUGUACCUGUGCCAAAGAAGGAUGGUAAAGUCCGAAUGUGUGUUGACUUCAGAGACCUGAACAAAGCUAGUCCAAAAGACAACUUUCCAUUACCUCAUAUUGAUGUGCUUGUUGAUAAUACUGCUCAGUCUAAGGUGUUCUCCUUCAUGGAUGGUUUCUCCGGUUACAAUCAGAUCAAAAUGUCUCCUGAAGAUAGAGAAAAGACGUCUUUUAUCACUCCAUGGGGUACUUUCUGCUACAAAGUGAUGCCGUUCGGCCUAAUAAAUGCUGGUGCUACCUACCAAAGAGGGAUGACUACUCUGUUUCAUGACAUGAUUCACAAAGAAGUCGAAGUAUAUGUGGAUGAUAUGAUUGUGAAGUCAACAGAUGAGGAGCAACAUGUUGAAUAUUUGACAAAGAUGUUUGAAAGGUUGAGAAAAUACAAGCUUCGAUUGAAUCCCAACAAAUGUACAUUCGGCGUCAGAUCCGGGAAGUUAUUAGGCUUCAUUGUCAGCCAAAAGGGCAUUGAAGUCGAUCCUGAUAAAGUCCGCAACCUGCGGGCCGAUCUUCAAGCUACUCAGAAAGAAUCAGCCUAUUCUAUGGAAUGAUGAAUGUCAAGAAGCUUUUGAUAGCAUCAAGAAUUACCUGCUGGAACCACCUAUCCUUGUCCCACCCGUGGAAGGAAGGCCUUUGAUUAUGUAUUUGGCAGUAUUUGAUGAAUCCAUGGGAUGCGUACUUGGUCAACAGGAUGAGACUGGAAAGAAAGAACAUGCUAUCUACUAUCUAAGCAAGAAGUUCACCGAUUGUGAAACUCGGUACACAAUGCUUGAGAAGACUUGUUGUGCUCUUGUCUAUUUGCCUUUGCUUUCAGUCGAGUGACCAGUUCGAAUCAAGAACAAUUCGUGCCUGUCUACCUAUUCUAUGUCUCCGAUCGAGUGACCAGUUCGAAUCCAAGAACAACUCGCACCUGUUUGUCUGCUUUUAUUCCAGGUCAAGUGCCCAGCUCAAUCCAAGAGCAGCUUGUACCCGUCAAUUUGUUCCUAGUCUCCUAUCUACCCUGUUAUCUGUUAUCUUGUCAAUGUCUACCAAUCCCGCAAUGGAUACGACAUCUUUUGUUAAUUCCAGCUUUCGUUUGUCUCGCACUCAUAAUCCAAAUGUUGCAUGGCAUUCAUGAUAUUUGAAAAUGUACAAGCGUAUUUUUACGUCCAAACACAGUGCAAAUGUUAAUAUUUAAGUAUCUUCGUCCCGUCGAGCCAAAGACUCCGUCUCUUGACCCUCCAGACAAAGAAACUUAAAUAGGGGCAGCUGUUAUACCCUGAUUUUGGACCUAAAAAUACUCGUUCAAAUUUCUUUUCUAACACUGAUACUUGUCAAAUUCUCUGUUAUUUUUUUCUCUGAAUCUUUACUCUUUUUUUAAACAUAUUUUACUGCCUCUGUCUGUCUUUUCUUGCAUUACAAGUCAUUUAAGAACUCUCUGAAACGUCGCAUUACUUUUCUUGCAUUUUAUUUCAAAAAAUCAUACAAAAGGGGUAUUUUGGUCAUUUCCUGCAGUGGAACCCAUUUUAGUCCCUGUGUUUGCCUCUGAGUCUUUUCAACUUGUCUGUACGAAUUAUUGUUGAGUCUUUGUUUAAAAAAUCAUUUCAAAAAUUGCAUCUGAGUCAGUUAGUCCCUAGGGGCAUUUUGGUCUUUUCCUGUUAAAAUUCCGACAGGGAGGUAUUUUAAAAUACCUCAUGUCGGUAAUUUGUUCGUUUUAGUCCGUUUGUUGAUUUUAUUUUUCGUUUCACUUUACCUUUUUACCAAUUACCAAUUUUAAUUCAUUUUAUUUUUAUUUACAUUUCGGUCCCCCAAAAGGGUCCCAAAAUUGCAUUUUUGUCCAAUACUUUUUUAAUUACAUUUUUUUAGUUUUUUUUUAUUAUUGCAGAUUAGUCCUCAUAUUAACUUUUUGUCAGAUUAGUCCUUAAGUCCAAAACAGUCCAGGUGUCAAUUUUCCAUUGGGUCACCAAUACACAUGGCAGGCUAUAAAUAGUAAAUGUGUCAGAUCCAUCACAAUCAGUCAAAAAAAAUCAGAAUCAAUCACAAUCAGUCUCAAACAGAAUCUUUUUCUCUCUCUCAUCCAUAACAGAAUCAAAACAGAAAAAACUCAGAAAAAAGAGGAAGAACACCAAGAACACCUCAUCACCAAAAUCAACAGAUCUAAACCGGAUCUGCUCAGAAUCAGCUCCAACCACCACAAAAUCAACAAAUCCGAACCGGAUUCACUCAAAACCACCGCGAAUCAUCACAUCAACACUAAAACAUACCGGUAUUUUCGAGCAAAAACAACACCAACGGAGGAUAUAGCGCGCGCGCGAAAGAGAAGAGGAGAGAUUCGAAGUUUUCCGAAUAUCUUUUUUCUCCGUUCUACGACAGAGGUAACGCGUUUCUCCUUUCUUUCUAAGCCAUUUCCGCGCAUUUCUUGCUUGAAAAAGUGUGAAAAAGUUUGUUACGG